UUUAUGUGAUGAAAUUGUAACCUGCCAGUUCUGCUUCUGAAUACCUUGAUGUAAAAAGUUACAACAUAUCUGAUAU
This 76-nucleotide small nucleolar RNA is filed under the name Ciona savignyi (Pacific transparent sea squirt). Lineage: Eukaryota; Metazoa; Chordata; Ascidiacea; Phlebobranchia; Cionidae. The record is from RNAcentral.